This 326-nucleotide unclassified non-coding RNA is filed under the name soil metagenome. RNAcentral describes it as "partial contains 5.8S ribosomal RNA, internal transcribed spacer 2, and large subunit ribosomal RNA". The stretch from base 1 to 120 matches the Rfam family "5.8S ribosomal RNA", at positions 35 to 154 of the family's 154-position model. The record is from RNAcentral.
GAUGAAGAACGUAGCGAAAUGCGAUAAGUAGUGUGAAUUGCAGAAUUCAGUGAAUCAUCGAAUCUUUGAACGCACAUUGCGCCCCUUGGUAUCCCGAGGGGCAUGCCUGUUCGAGCGUCAUUUCACCACUCAAGCCUGGCUUGGUGUUGGGCGACGUCCUCUUUGGGGACGCGCCUCGAAACGCUCGGCGGCGUGGCACCGGCUUUAAGCGUAGCAGAAUCUUUCGCUUUGGAAGUCGGGGCCCCGUCUGCCGGAAGACCUGCUCGCAAGGUUGACCUCGGAUCAGGCAGGGAUACCCGCUGAACUUAAGCAUAUCAAUAACGAGA